Lupinus angustifolius (narrow-leaved blue lupine) is the source of this 429-nucleotide ribosomal RNA. It matches the Rfam family "Bacterial small subunit ribosomal RNA". Lineage: Eukaryota; Viridiplantae; Streptophyta; Magnoliopsida; Fabales; Fabaceae. The record is from Rfam.
CUCUAGUAGAGUCCCAUCCAGGAUAAAAGGAACUACUAUCUCGAUCACCCCAUCUUUAGCUAAGAGAGAGGAGGUCAAGUAGUCAGGAUAAUCAGUAAUGAUACUUGAAGGAAGACGAAAACAUAAGCAUCAGCUAACUCUGUGUCAGCAGCAGUGGUAAGACAGAGGAUGGAAGCAUUAUCCGGAAUGAUUGGCGUAAAGCGUCUAUAUGUGGCUUUUUAUGUUUGCCGUCAAAUCCUAGGGCUCAACCCUAGAAGGCGGUGGAAAAUACCAAGCUGGAGUAGGGUACGGGAUGAGGGAAUUUCCGAUGGAGCGGUGAAAUGCAUAGAGAUCAGAAAGAACACCAACGGUUAAAGCACUCUGCUAGGCCGAUAAACCCUAAACCCCCAAACAACCCCCUAAACCCUAACGAACAAGAUGAUUUUAUUU